RNAcentral lists this long non-coding RNA (1069 nucleotides) under Androctonus crassicauda. The record is from RNAcentral. Lineage: Eukaryota; Metazoa; Arthropoda; Arachnida; Scorpiones; Buthidae.
AGUGAUUUUUCUACAAUAAUUCAAUUUACAUAACGAUAUGGAUGAUGAUGAUGAUGAUAUACAGUAUAUUAUUAUUUUGAUAUCAGUUGUAUAUUGAAAAAUUAGAAAAGUUAUAAAAAUAUAUCGAAUGUAUAAAAAUAUCAACGGUACAAUUCCGCAAAGUUACCCACCCAUUAAAUUUGGGGUGGGUAACUUUGCGAUCUCCAUCGAUGUAUUUCUCUCAAAGAACUAUACCUGUAUCAGAUACAGUUACGGAAUUAAAGCUGUUAUAAAUAUUUUAACUUUAGUGACGUUAUUUUCCGUAAAGCAGCUGCUAGCAAAUGCGCGUCGCGUCGUGGUGCGAAAAUCCAAGGGAAGCGCAUGCUUAAAUUACGUUACGCAGGAAUAAAAUGCUUCCUUUCCUACUGAUUUUGAUGGGAUACUGUUGGCAUCAGACACUUUUUGACACACUACCAGCUGCGCAUCACCCAUGAUGGGGUCAGUCGAAGAUUAACGGAUGGAGAUCUACGGACUAAGCCCCCGAGUCCACCUAAAGUAUAGCAUGGGCCCUGAUUCUCCAAGAUUAUAAGGAACUGCUUUAUUAUGCGGUCAUCCAGACAAUUCUCUGUUAUUUUUGAUGGCAUAUAUUAUGCCACCGCAUCAAUUAGUAUUUAUGAAUGCCCAUAUUUGAAUAUAUUCAAAACUACCUAACUUCAUUUGUUGUACAUCUGCAAAGCAUCCAGCUGUUUCGAUGAUGGAAGACUGAUCUUCUGGAGCGUUCACUAUCACGCUCUUUCAAAAUCCAUUUACGCGUUCCGUUUUAUGCGUUUUGUAGAUAUGCUGUUUGCUUUGUAGACAUUCAUUCGUGUAAACAUUCAUUCACAUUCAUCUUGAUUGUAAGCUAUAGAUAUACAACACUUAAUAUUCAUUGGCCAGUAUGCAAAAUAGAUGAAUUAGUCAUGUCGUGUGAGGAAUGAUAAUGUAAUGUCUUUUUGGCACUACAGUUAAUUUAUAAUAAAGGAUAAAUAAACGAAAUUUUCAUAUACGAGUAAUAGAAUUAUAGGAUUAAUAUCUAAGAUUAUUCUGUAAU